CUACUUGCCGCUGUUUGUCCAACACCUCUUGGUACCGUUCCUUUAACAAAGCCCUCUCAGACAUCAUUUUGUCCAGGUUCUUCUCAAUGUCCUGAUCUGUGUUCACAUCCGUGUCGGCCGUCUUGAAGUCGGUCUGCACCGCGAUGUUCUGGGAGGGCUUCACGGGCGCCGCCUCCGGGUCGUGCUCCUCCGCCGCCCCCUCGCUCUGCCCCGCGGCCUCCGCGCCGCCGCCCGGGCCGGGCUCCCCCUCGCCUUCCGCCGCCGGGGCCUCACCGGGGAGGGCCGCGGGCUCCGCCUCUCCGCCAGGCGCCGCCUCGCCGGGGCUCUCCGGGGCGGAGAGGCUGGCGGGCGGCGCGGCGGCGGGGCCCUCGGCCUGCGCCUGCUCCAGCGCCAUGGCGGUCCCUCCGGAGGCUGCGGCUG
Molecule: long non-coding RNA, 420 nt
Filed under: Gallus gallus (chicken)
Lineage: Eukaryota; Metazoa; Chordata; Aves; Galliformes; Phasianidae
Source: RNAcentral